Molecule: long non-coding RNA, 1457 nt
Organism: Spinacia oleracea (spinach)
Lineage: Eukaryota; Viridiplantae; Streptophyta; Magnoliopsida; Caryophyllales; Amaranthaceae
Exons: 7
Source: RefSeq, a predicted model, not a curated record
AUCUAGAUCGAUUGAAUUCCAGAAAAAAUAUCCAGUGAAACCUUCGAAUCUCCAUCGCCAAUUUCUCCCCUCUUCUACACAAAUCUUACCCCAAUUAACUCCCUUCUUCAUCUUCUGUUUGUUCCUUCGUUGCGCGGCCAUCGGAAAACGUUUCUUGCUCUCUCCUCCGCAUAUCUCACCGGCGGUAACUAAAGCUUUUCAACUCCCACCGCAUAUCUCACCGGCGGUAACUUGCUCUCUCCUCCGCGCAAGGUUUUUCGCAUAUCUCACCGGCGGUUUGCUCUUUUUCAACACCGCCUAUAACACCGAGAAUGGUGGAUUUAUCUGGGAUUUCCUUGCAAUUAUCCGAAGUUGAGACUUAUACCAGAAGAAGGAAGGGACAUACGCCACAAUAGAACAAAGAGGGGAGAAGGGAGGCAGAUACAACAGAAAAGUGUGGAACCACGGUGCUUAGUGGAGCAGUCCCUGAAUCUCAUUAAGGCUAUUUGUCUCAUUAGGAUACUGCAAGGAACCACGGUGCUUAGUGGAGCAGUCCCUGAAAAGUGUGGAACCACGGUGCUUAGUGGAGCAGUCCCUGAAAAGUGUGGAACCACGGUGCUUAGUGGAGCUGCCUUCCUCUCGAAAGAAGAUACUUUUGAUGCUUUAGUUAUUUUGGCUAUUCGUCUCAUUAAGGAUAGCUCACUAUUUAUAAGCUACAGCACUGUAUCUGGACAACGAUCUCAUUUACACUGUUGGUCAAAGUGGUAGGUCACUAGCUUUUCGGUAGGACCGCCCUACGGGCGCGUGUAGGAAAGACCGAGUGAGUCAACCACGCGCGCGUGGCCUCACGCGCAGUAUAACCACACCACCGUUGAAAUAUGGCGAAGCAACAGUGAUGAAGUAGGUUUUCAGAUGCCGAAGGCGACGCAAGACCUAGAUCCACAUGGAGUAGCGGCGCUCGAUGUAGAUCGGAAAACUGCGGAAGUUAGGUCGCCGUUGAGCUGAAGAAGGAAUAUGAAGAGUGAAGCGAAAUCGCUUUGCGACGGAAUCCACGGCGGUGGUGGUUAGGUUGGCGGAACUGAAAAUGGCGAGGACGGCGGCGGCGUUGUCUCGGAAUUAGGUUUUUGAUUUUAGGUUUUUUUUGCCGCGGUUGCGGUGGUGGAGGUGGAGGUGGCGGAGGUGGAGGUGUGGCUUGGUUCUGCGAGAAAGGGCGGAGAGUUUCGGCGGUGGAGGUGCGGCUCGGUUUUGCGAGGAAGAGCGGCGACUUUGGGUGGUCGGAUGAGGCGUCGCAAGGAAGGGCGGCGACUUUGGGUGGUCGGAUGAGGCGUCGCAAGGAAGGGCGGCGAGUUUCUUCAAAUAUGCAGGGCCAUUGAUUUGAGUGUGAUGGGAAUUUUCAUUUUACCAUUGAUGAAGAAUGUUCGCAAGUGUGAUUACUCUGAUUGUCCAAUUAUUAUUGCAUUAAUUAUUUUAUAUUUAUA